Molecule: ribosomal RNA, 401 nt
Filed under: uncultured bacterium
Lineage: Bacteria
Description: bacterial SSU rRNA
Rfam family: Bacterial small subunit ribosomal RNA
Source: RNAcentral
GGGGAAUAUUGCACAAUGGGCGCAAGCCUGAUGCAGCAACGCCGCGUGCGGGAAGAAGGCCUUAGGGUUGUAAACCGCUUUCAGCAGGGAAGAAACUGACGGUACCUGCAGAAGAAGGAGCGGCCAACUACGUGCCAGCAGCCGCGGUGACACGUAGGCUCCAAGCGUUGUCCGGAUUUAUUGGGCGUAAAGAGCUCGUAGGCGGUUUAGUAAGUCGGGUGUGAAAACUCUGGGCUUAACCCAGAGACGCCACCCGAUACUGCUAUGACUUGAGUACGGUAGGGGAGUGGGGAAUUCCUGGUGUAGCGGUGAAAUGCGCAGAUAUCAGGAGGAACACCAGUGGCGAAGGCGCCACUCUGGGCCGAAACUGACGCUGAGGAGCGAAAGCGUGGGUAGCAAAC